AUUGAACGCUGGCGGCAUGCCUUACACAUGCAAGUCGAACGGUAACGGGCCUUCGGGUGCCGACGAGUGGCGAACGGGUGCGUAAUACAUCGGAACGUGCCCGAUCGUGGGGGAUAACGAGGCGAAAGCUUUGCUAAUACCGCAUACGAUCUACGGAUGGAAGCAGGGGACCGCAAGGCCUUGCGCGGACGGAGCGGCCGAUGGCAGAUUAGGUAGUUGGUGGGAUAAAAGCUUACCAAGCCGACGAUCUGUAGCUGGUCUGAGAGGAUGAUCAGCCACACUGGGACUGAGACACGGCCCAGACUCCUACGGGAGGCAGCAGUGGGGAAUUUUGGACAAUGGGCGCAAGCCUGAUCCAGCCAUGCCGCGUGCAGGAUGAAGGCCUUCGGGUUGUAAACUGCUUUUGUACGGAACGAAAAGCCUUCUUUUAAUACAGGAGGGUCAUGACGGUACCGUAAGAAUAAGCACCGGCUAACUACGUG
RNAcentral lists this ribosomal RNA (482 nucleotides) under uncultured bacterium. RNAcentral describes it as "partial 16S ribosomal RNA". It matches the Rfam family "Bacterial small subunit ribosomal RNA", at positions 30 to 507 of the family's 1533-position model. The record is from RNAcentral.